GUUAUGAUUCAGAAUUACCCUGAACUUUCAACUCAUUUUAAAGCAGCCAGAGCCAAAAAGGAUAAUUACAAAGGCAUUCACACAAUGACUUCCAAAACUACAUUUUUAUGAUAAUUUUUUCAAUAUGCUAAACUAACAUACAUUGUGACCAUAUUUUUACUAUCAUUUUGGGUUAAAGAGCAUUAAUAUAACCACAUCAAUGGCCACAUGAUACUUCUCAGCAUCAAGUAUUGUCCCAUUACCCCUCAACAAAUAAACUAGGGGAAGACCACAUAUAUACUGAACUGACAUUAUUUAUGGCUUUAUGCCAACAGUAUGAUAAGGUCCAGUUCUUAGGCAUUUGAUAAAAUAGAAAUGCUAAAUUUGUGAGACGUAGGAACAGACCGAUAAAGCUCAUAGAGACCAUCACAUGCAUCUGUGCGGAUUGCCCAAUUAGCACUUGAAAUUUCUGAAUUAUUUAAGGCCAGGAUAACUUCGAAGUACAACAAUGUGAACAUAUAUUGCUAAGAAAAACGAUCAAGUUAUCCUCUUCUUUGUUGCAUAAUUAU
Molecule: unclassified non-coding RNA, 548 nt
Filed under: Hevea brasiliensis (rubber tree)
Lineage: Eukaryota; Viridiplantae; Streptophyta; Magnoliopsida; Malpighiales; Euphorbiaceae
Source: RNAcentral